Molecule: non-coding RNA, 45 nt
Filed under: Schistosoma margrebowiei
Lineage: Eukaryota; Metazoa; Platyhelminthes; Trematoda; Strigeidida; Schistosomatidae
Source: RNAcentral
ACUCAACUGAAGAGUCCCAAAUACGACGAAACAAGGGUCCUGGAU